AUUGAACGCUGGCGGCAUGCUUUACACAUGCAAGUCGAACGGUAACAGGUUAAGCUGACGAGUGGCGAACGGGUGAGUAAUGCAUCGGAACGUGCCCGGUCGUGGGGGAUAACGCAGCGAAGGCUGCGCUAAUACCGCAUACGAUCUGAGGAUGAAAGCGGGGGACCGUAAGGCCUCGCGCGAUCGGAGCGGCCGAUGUCAGAUUAGGUAGUUGGUGGGGUAAAGGCUCACCAAGCCGACGAUCUGUAGCUGGUCUGAGAGGACGACCAGCCACACUGGGACUGAGACACGGCCCAGACUCCUACGGGAGGCAGCAGUGGGGAAUUUUGGACAAUGGGCGCAAGCCUGAUUCAGCAAUGCCGCGUGCAGGAAGAAGGCCUUCGGGUUGUAAACUGCUUUUGUACGGAGCGAAAAGGCUCUCUCUAAUACAGGGGGCUCAUGACGGUACCGUAAGAAUAAGCACCGGCUAACUACGUGCCAGCCGCCGCAGUAA
RNAcentral lists this ribosomal RNA (493 nucleotides) under uncultured bacterium. RNAcentral describes it as "partial 16S ribosomal RNA". It matches the Rfam family "Bacterial small subunit ribosomal RNA", at positions 30 to 523 of the family's 1533-position model. The record is from RNAcentral.